UUGGCCUACGGGACGCAGCAGUGGGGGAUAUUGCACAAUGGGGGGAACCCUGAUGCAGCGACGCCGCGUGAGUGAAGAAGUAUCUCGGUACGUAAAGCUCUAUCAGCAGGGAAGAAAAAAAGUCUUUGGCUUUGGACGGUACCUGACUAAGAAGCCCCGGCUAACUACGUGCCAGCAGCCGCGGUAAUACGUAGGGGGCAAGCGUUAUCCGGAUUUACUGGGUGUAAAGGGAGCGUAGACGGCAGCGCACGUCUGGAGUGAAAUGCCGGGGCUCAACCCCGGACGUGCUUUGGAAACUGAGCAGC
This 305-nucleotide ribosomal RNA is filed under the name uncultured bacterium. RNAcentral describes it as "partial 16S ribosomal RNA". It matches the Rfam family "Bacterial small subunit ribosomal RNA", at positions 334 to 641 of the family's 1533-position model. The record is from RNAcentral.